ACAAUCAGAAGGAGUGUUGAU
This 21-nucleotide small nuclear RNA is filed under the name Arabidopsis thaliana (thale cress). RNAcentral describes it as "snRNA_04467". Lineage: Eukaryota; Viridiplantae; Streptophyta; Magnoliopsida; Brassicales; Brassicaceae. The record is from RNAcentral.